This 468-nucleotide ribosomal RNA is filed under the name uncultured bacterium. RNAcentral describes it as "partial 16S ribosomal RNA". It matches the Rfam family "Bacterial small subunit ribosomal RNA", at positions 28 to 507 of the family's 1533-position model. The record is from RNAcentral.
GACGAACGCUGGCGGCGUGCUUAACACAUGCAAGUCGAACGGAAAGGCCCGGCUUUUGUGGGGUGCUCGAGUUGCGAACGGGUGAGUAACACGUGAGUAACCUGCCCUUGACUUUGGGAUAACUUCAGGAAACUGGGGCUAAUACCGGAUAGGAGCUCCUGCUGCAGGGUGGGGGUGGGAAAGUUUCGGCGGUUGGGGAUGGACUCGCGGCUUAUCAGAUUGUUGGUGGGGUAGUGGCUUACCAAGGCUUUGACGGGUAGCCGGCCUGAGAGGGUGACCGGCCACAUUGGGACUGAGAUACGGCACAGACUCCUCCGGGAGGCAGCAGUGGGGUAUAUUGCACAAUGGGCGGAAGCCUGAUGCAGCCACGCCGCGUGCGGGAUGACGGCCUUCGGGUUGUAAACCGCUUUCGCCUGUGACGAAGCGUGAGUGACGGUAAUGGGUAAAGAAGCACCGGCUAACUACGUG